This 661-nucleotide long non-coding RNA is filed under the name Brassica napus (rape). Its description in RNAcentral is "long non-coding RNA (BNAP_LNC003892)". The record is from RNAcentral. Lineage: Eukaryota; Viridiplantae; Streptophyta; Magnoliopsida; Brassicales; Brassicaceae.
GAAUAUAAGGUAACUCAUGACACGGCCAAGUCUCAGACAUUAACGAACAGGGGAAUCAAAUAAUAGCCAUGCCACGAUGCUAAAUUUAAAAGGGUGAACUAUAUAACACCUUUCAAUAAGUAUCAGAUUAAAUACAGAUUUAAAACAAACCAAAAUGUCUACAAGAGGCGAUAUGUAGCUACUUUAAAUUUGGAGGAAGUCAUGAGAAGACAUCAGAUCAAGACUGCCUCCAAUCGUGAUGAGAAGCUUACAUAAUAUAGGCACCAUGCAAAGGGUUGCUCUGCUGUUUGCUUAUUAAAACCAAGCAAGCACCCGUGUCUGACUUAAUGCCAAUCCAAACAAUUAAUAUUCCCAACAAACAAAAAAACUCUAACAAGAUUGUAAUAUAAUUAAUACCCAACCAACCAAAACUCAAUAAGAUUGUAUUAUAAUUGUAUCCAAGAGUAUUGAAUCAUGAAAACAUUGUGAUAUUAGUUUUCAUGGGUCUUCCUCUGGCAAUUUGAUUUAGGCUCCAAGCGGCAGUCAGGUCGCCAUUAAAGCGACGCCUGCUGUUGACUCGUUUAAAAAUGGAGCCCUCUUUCUUUCACACCAUACGGAUAAAACAUUAGACAAACUAACUGAUCUGAGAAAGCAAAACCAAACAAGAAAACAUAACUGAAGU